Molecule: antisense RNA, 75 nt
Filed under: Streptomyces violaceoruber
Lineage: Bacteria; Bacillati; Actinomycetota; Actinomycetes; Kitasatosporales; Streptomycetaceae
Also listed under: 3 other names
Description: ASpks TB sRNA
Rfam family: ASpks TB sRNA
Source: RNAcentral
CUUCAGCGACCCCAGGUACAGCGGCCGGUCCGCCGGACGCUGCCGGCCGUACGACGCCAGCAGCGCCUGGGCCUC